AUGUACCACUCGUACACUGCGGUUCUGAGCGUGCCGUCCACGCCUACCUGACGACUGCUAGCUACGUUGUGUUGACC
This 77-nucleotide small RNA is filed under the name Xanthomonas citri pv. aurantifolii. RNAcentral describes it as "sX9". It matches the Rfam family "Xanthomonas sRNA sX9". RNAcentral also lists the same sequence under 3 other names. Lineage: Bacteria; Pseudomonadati; Pseudomonadota; Gammaproteobacteria; Lysobacterales; Lysobacteraceae. The record is from RNAcentral.